AGGACGAACGCUGGCGGCGUGCUUAACACAUGCAAGUCGAACGGAAAGGCCCGCUUGCGGGUACUCGAGUGGCGAACGGGUGAGUAACACGUGGGCAACCUGCCCUCAGCUUCGGGAUAACACUUGGAAACAGGUGCUAAUACCGGAUAACAACUUUUCAUCGCAUGGUGGAUGGUUCAAAGUUUUUCGGCUGAGGAUGGGCCCGCGGCCUAUCAGCUUGUUGGUGGGGUAAUGGCCUACCAAGGCGACGACGGGUAGCCGGCCUGAGAGGGCGACCGGCCACACUGGGACUGAGACACGGCCCAGACUCCUACGGGAGGCAGCAGUGGGGAAUAUUGCGCAAUGGGCGAAAGCCUGACGCAGCGACGCCGCGUGAGGGAUGACGGCCUUCGGGUUGUAAACCUCUUUCAGCUCUGACGAAGCGCAAGUGACGGUAGGAGCAGAAGAAGCACCGGCCAACUACGCGCUAGCAGCCGC
RNAcentral lists this ribosomal RNA (477 nucleotides) under uncultured bacterium. RNAcentral's name for it is "SSU rRNA". It matches the Rfam family "Bacterial small subunit ribosomal RNA", at positions 26 to 518 of the family's 1533-position model. The record is from RNAcentral.